RNAcentral lists this ribosomal RNA (306 nucleotides) under Triticum aestivum (bread wheat). RNAcentral describes it as "partial small subunit ribosomal RNA". The record is from RNAcentral. Lineage: Eukaryota; Viridiplantae; Streptophyta; Magnoliopsida; Poales; Poaceae.
AUGGUAUGCAUACUUGUCAACAUACAUACUGCCUAUAUGCUGCAGCGAAGGAUAUGUAUUCUGCAGUUCCAAACUCUGCGUAUGUGUUUUGAGUUCUGCUCACUAGGUCAUAUUUAUCACUGGGACCUGGUGGGGCAACUUUGCCGAGGUUUCCAAGAUAUAGUUUGGCUUCCUCUUUUUCCCUGUUGCCUACAUCGAGUUGCUUGGUUGCUUGAGCUCAUUGGCCUUAUUUGGUUUAUGGAAGGCAUCCUUGCCAACAUCUUCUUGCGAAGUGUUUUGCCAUACCUUUUGUUACCUGAAGUGUAA